This 87-nucleotide unclassified non-coding RNA is filed under the name Pseudomonas cedrina. Lineage: Bacteria; Pseudomonadati; Pseudomonadota; Gammaproteobacteria; Pseudomonadales; Pseudomonadaceae. The record is from RNAcentral.
GUGGGAGGGGGCUUGCCCUCGAUGGCGGCCUGUCAGUUAGCUUGUCUGUAGCUGACCCACCGCUAUCGGGGGCAAGCCCCCUCCCAC